Molecule: transfer RNA, 89 nt
Filed under: Lentisphaerota bacterium
Lineage: Bacteria; Pseudomonadati; Lentisphaerota
Description: Lentisphaerae bacterium tRNA-Ser
Rfam family: tRNA
About the family: Transfer RNA (tRNA) molecules are approximately 80 nucleotides in length. Their secondary structure includes four short double-helical elements and three loops (D, anti-codon, and T loops).
Source: RNAcentral
GGAGAGAUGCCGGAGUGGUCGAACGGGCCGCACUCGAAAUGCGGUGGGCGCUUAGCGUCCCCAGGGUUCGAAUCCCUGUCUCUCCGCCA